Rhineura floridana is the source of this 530-nucleotide long non-coding RNA. RefSeq lists it as uncharacterized. The transcript is spliced from 2 exons. Lineage: Eukaryota; Metazoa; Chordata; Lepidosauria; Squamata; Rhineuridae. The record is from RefSeq and is a predicted model, not a curated record.
GGGUUGUGACUUGUUGAUCCAGGCAUGCCUAGGCCUAAUUUCAAUGUCAGAAAAUGGUGGCUUUAAGAUUUUUGCAGUCUGCGACCACCCAGAGGAAAGCAUUUGGCCAAUCACUGUGUCUACCUGAGUCUACAGCAAAAUGUUUUCAAUGGACACACCUGGAGUGGCAACAGGGUUGAUGGUCAGUUGGUUUUGAAGUCUAUGUGAAGCUUCCUUCAAGGUAAAGUGCACUGGAGCUGCAACUUCUGAGGUUUUGGAAUAAAAGGGGAUGGAAUUUGCCUGGCGUCAUACUCCCCACAUUCAGAAAACAGAUUUGGAGAUCCAUUGAAGCCAGCAAAACUGCAUGUGUGUCUCUACCCUACAUCAGGCUUGGUGGGAAGAUACAAAAAACGUCCUUACUGUAAACACAAGUGUCCCUGCGAUUCUUGACACUGAAUUGGUGACCCAUGUCCUUCCAUAUUACCCAUUUUAAUCAAGAUUCAACAAAACUUUUAUUGUACCCCAACUAUUGAAAUUAUUAUUUGAAACUA